AUACUUCACACCUCAAAUAUGCCUCGCCACCAGGGACCAGGACCUCGCCGUGUUGGAAAUCGCCUUCAAUGUCGGUGGAGGUCUAAACACCCUCAAACCUAAAUCAUUUGACUUGUUUUUUCUCCUCUCUCUCAUCCUCAAACUAGUUUUCUUUAAUUCCUUAUUGUUAUUCCAAACCGAACAGAAAAUUGUAUGAACCCUAAUGUCCUAAGUUCAAAUUAAACGCUAAUAAAGCCUAAUCUAGAUUCAAAACCUUAUGGUUAUGGUUCCUUAGCAUCAAUACUAUGAGUUGGUAACAAAGUUCAAAGGGAGUAAAGAGGAGUUGAAGGAGAUCCUUUCCUUCAGAGAGGUUGCUUGCUUUGGAAAAUAUUGAGAAGCUCGAAGAUGAGAAUGCAGAGAAAUCCAGAGGUGGAUUUCUAGGCUUGGGCUAAAGCAAGGAUCGUGAAGAAUUUGGCAAAGGUCAUCAAAUGGCAAAGCAUGGAACAAGGCAUGGCAUGGAUUGGUCAUGAAGACAUGAAUAUAUGAAACAUCGGAAAUCAUGAAGCACUUGAACAAACAUGGGGUGGCUUAUGAAUGAAGAAGAAGUAGGAUAGGAAUUAGGGUUAGGAUUUAGUUAGUUGGCUUUGGUCAAUUGUUUGACCAAAAUUAAAUAGUUGACCAAAGUCAACUUUGGGUCAAAAUGUGUAUUUUUGUAUAAAAUUGGGAUUCUUGACUCCCUUAUGAUGAAAUUUUGGUGAUUUGUAAUGAAAUUGGCUCUUAAGUGGUA
Lathyrus oleraceus (garden pea) is the source of this 766-nucleotide long non-coding RNA. RefSeq lists it as uncharacterized. The record is from RefSeq and is a predicted model, not a curated record. The transcript is spliced from 2 exons. Lineage: Eukaryota; Viridiplantae; Streptophyta; Magnoliopsida; Fabales; Fabaceae.